UACGUAGGAGACGAGCGUUGUCCGGAGUUACUGGGCGUAAAGGGUGCGCAGGUGGCGGCGCGCGUGGGGGGUGAAAUCGCCCGGCUUAACUGGGCGGGGGCCUUCCAGACGGCGUGGCUUGAGCAGCGGAGGGGGACGUGGAAUUCCGGGUGGAGCGGUGAAAUGCGUAGAGAUCCGGAGGAACACCGACGGCGAAGGCAGCGCCCUGGACGACACCUGACGCUCAGGCACGAAAGCUGGGGGAGCAAACAGG
RNAcentral lists this ribosomal RNA (253 nucleotides) under uncultured bacterium. RNAcentral describes it as "partial 16S ribosomal RNA". It matches the Rfam family "Bacterial small subunit ribosomal RNA", at positions 524 to 776 of the family's 1533-position model. The record is from RNAcentral.